CAGUAGCCACGGGAAUACAGAGGGUGCGAGCGUUAAUCGGAUUUACUGGGCGUAAAGCGUGCGUAGGCGGCUUCUUAAGUCGGAUGUGAAAUCCCUGAGCUUAACUUAGGAAUUGCAUUCGAUACUGGGAAGCUAGAGUAUGGGAGAGGAUGGUAGAAUUCCAGGUGUAGCGGUGAAAUGCGUAGAGAUCUGGAGGAAUACCGAUGGCGAAGGCAGCCAUCUGGCCUAAUACUGACGCUGAGGUACGAAAGCAUGGGGAGCAAACAGGAUUAGAUACUCCCGUAGUCCCUGUCUCUUAUAC
Molecule: ribosomal RNA, 301 nt
Filed under: uncultured bacterium
Lineage: Bacteria
Description: partial 16S ribosomal RNA
Rfam family: Bacterial small subunit ribosomal RNA
Source: RNAcentral